AGUGGAACUUAUUCUUCACUCGGAAUAUCUAAAGCAUCGGAUCCCAUCAGAACUUCGAAGUUAAGUGUGCUUGGGCGAGAGUAGUACUAGGAUGGGUGACCUCCUGGGAAGUCCUCGUGUUGCAACUC
This is a non-coding RNA of Triticum aestivum (bread wheat), 128 nucleotides long. The record is from Rfam. NCBI's taxonomy places the organism in Eukaryota, Viridiplantae, Streptophyta, Magnoliopsida, Poales, Poaceae.